RNAcentral lists this ribosomal RNA (985 nucleotides) under human gut metagenome. RNAcentral's name for it is "bacterial LSU rRNA". It matches the Rfam family "Bacterial large subunit ribosomal RNA", at positions 1942 to 2925 of the family's 2925-position model. The record is from RNAcentral.
AUAACGGUCCUAAGGUAGCGAAAUUCCUUGUCAGGUAAGUUCUGACCCGCACGAAAGGUGUAACGAUUUGGGCGCUGUCUCGGCAGCAGACUCGGUGAAAUCUUAGUACCUGUGAAAAUGCAGGUUACCCGCAACUAGACGGAAAGACCCCAUGGAGCUUUACUGCAGCCUGAUAUUGAAUUCUGGUCAUACAUGUACAGGAUAGGUGGGAGACAAAGAGACGUGCACGCCAGUGUACGAGGAGUCGACGUUGGGAUACCACUCUUGUGUGACCGGGGUUCUAACCUGGUAUCGAGAACAGGUACGGGGAGAGUGUCAGGUGGGCAGUUUGACUGGGGCGGUCGCCUCCCAAAGAGUAACGGAGGCGCCCAAAGGUUCCCUCAGCGCGGCCGGAAAUCGCGCGAAGAGUGUAAAGGCAGAAGGGAGCUUGACUGAGAGCCAAACACGGCGAUCAGGUACGAAAGUAGGGCUUAGUGAUCCGGUGGCAUCCAAGUGGAAGGGCCAUCGCUCAACGGAUAAAAGCUACCCUGGGGAUAACAGGCUAAUCUCUCCCAAGAGUCCAUAUCGACGGGGAGGUUUGGCACCUCGAUGUCGGCUCAUCACAUCCUGGGGCUGAAGUCGGUCCCAAGGGUUGGGCUGUUCGCCCAUUAAAGUGGUACGUGAGCUGGGUUCAGAACGUCGUGAGACAGUUCGGUCCCUAUCCAUCGCGGGCGCAAGAGAUUUGAAGGGGGCUGCUCCUAGUACGAGAGGACCGGAGUGGACGAACCAAUGGUGUACCAAUUAUCUCGCCAGAGGUAUAGUUGGGUAGCUACGUUCGGAAAGGAUAAACGCUGAAAGCAUCUAAGCGUGAAACCAGCCUUAAGAUGAGAUCUCUCAUAGAGUAAUCUAGUAAGACACCUUGGAGAAGACGAGGUUGAUAGGUCGGGAGUGUAAGUACAGUAAUGUAUUCAGCGGACCGAUACUAAUAUGUCGAGGGCUUGACUUA